This 1354-nucleotide long non-coding RNA is filed under the name Cyanistes caeruleus (blue tit). RNAcentral describes it as "lncRNA (ENSCCEG00000014157.1)". The record is from RNAcentral. Lineage: Eukaryota; Metazoa; Chordata; Aves; Passeriformes; Paridae.
CAGAAAUGUUUCCAUUUGCUGUGUGUUUCCUCUCCUCAUUAGGUCUUGGCAGUAGUAUAGACAAAUCUAAAUCCUUAGCAUGAUUAUGUUCUCAGCAAUUUAUGUAUUGUCACCCACUUAGGCCUAAUAAUUUUAGUGAAAUAUAAAAAAUUUAAUUAUUCUAGCACUAAAGCAAAAGUGUAGAGUGACCAGAAUUGCAAGCCUUAAACUAAUUAAAUAGUAAAAGUUGAGUAGUGGGUAUCUUUUGUGACUAUGUUGCAUAUACUUCCAGAUAAGGCUUGGAAGCUGUGAACCUUUUAAGAUGGUCCAACAUAGAUCAAUUUUGUUUUGAAUAUCUGGUGAAAUCGGAGGCUCUGUGCUUCUUCCUAGUCACCAGCAUCUCCUGGGAUAAAAGGGUUCUGAAGAAACCCAUGUGGUUAACAUCCUUUCCUAACCUUCCUAAAUGCAGGGAUAACAAAGAGGAAAAAACUCCAAGCUGUUUUCCCAAAAUAUUACCUACGUUUGGAUAUGCUCUAACAAACUACUGUCAAGGAUUGGAAAAGGGCACAGCGGUCAGGCGAGGCACAUGAACAGGGCUCCUUUCAGCCUCACCAUGAAUUCCUGGGAACACUGGUGAGUGGCUUGUGGAGCCAAGGCAGGUGCCAGGCAAAGGGUGUGCUCAGCAAGGAGAACAGAAUUUCAGAUGUACAAAAGAGAACAGUGCGUGGAUGUAAGCUCCAGAGGGACAAAACAAAACUGGAAUUGAACUAAUGGUAAGUCUGUCACUAAUCUGUAGUUAACAGAGGAAUGAAGACAUAUUGCCUUAGUCUUGUCAGAAGUGUGGUGCACACAUUCUUACACUUGGAGCAGAUUGGUUUGCCUGCUUGAUUCAAAAUACCCUGAACCAGUGUGAACCACUGGUUGUACAGAGCCUACCUGUGUCUGCAGAGCUCAUUGCAGAUUUAGAUGAUUUCUCACUUUUGACAGCAACCAUCUCUUCCUCCCCACAAGUGGCCACGAAAAAUGAAGUACCAGGGUCUUUACUGCUGGUAACUUGUACAGCACAAUGAUGUGGUUUACAGAUGCAAAUAUCUUUGUGUUUUGCACUAAAUGGAACCCAGAUGUAGCUGUGGACUUGUUCCAUAGCUUCUUGCUUUUCCAGAGUUCAUGAAGCCAGUGAAAGCCCCGUUCCAUCUACAGGAAAAUGAAACUGGGAAGCUGGCAACACCUUUAAUCAAGGAAAUGUGGGGAUUUAACACUCAGUACAAUUGCUGCUACCUUAGAUAUGUCAUCAGGAGAAUAUAUAUUCUUCCAGAUUAUUAGUGAAGCUCAUGCUUAAUAAGAGUGAGCGUAGUUUUUAACAUUUCAUGGAAAG